This 568-nucleotide small RNA is filed under the name Pongo abelii (Sumatran orangutan). RNAcentral's name for it is "retained intron". The record is from RNAcentral. Lineage: Eukaryota; Metazoa; Chordata; Mammalia; Primates; Hominidae.
GCAAAUGGUAAUAAAGAGAGUGUCCCUUUCCGGGGAAGCCUGCCCCUGACUGCAGGGUUGGGGGAGAAGGGGAUAAACGGUCCCCAUGGGGCGGAGAUGCAAACUUAGACCACAGGGCCCCCAGCACCCAUGCCCUGCUGGUCAUCACUGCUUCUGCCCCACCCUUGAGACAGACAGAGAGAGAGGGAGAAAGAAAGAGAGGGAAAGACUGGGGGUUGGGGGUGUGGGGGGCUUUUCCUCUCCCUCUGGCUCAGUGCCUGUGUCGCCUUCCAGGCUGUCGCGCCUCAUCUUCUUGCUGCGAAGGUGGGCUGCCAGGCAUGUGCACCACCAGGACCAGGGACUGGACUCUGUUCCUGAUUGUUUCCGUGGAGCCGAGCUUAAGGAGGUAUCCAGCCAAGAAAGCAAUACCCAGGCAAAUGUGGGCAGCCAGGAGCCAGCAGACAGAGGGAGAAGGAAGAAGACGAAGAAGAAGGAUGCGAUCGUAGUGGACCCGUCCAGCAACCUGUACUACCGCUGGCUGACCGCCAUCGCCCUGCCUGUCUUCUAUAACUGGUGUCUGCUUAUUUGC